Malaclemys terrapin pileata is the source of this 4379-nucleotide long non-coding RNA. RefSeq lists it as uncharacterized. The record is from RefSeq and is a predicted model, not a curated record. Lineage: Eukaryota; Metazoa; Chordata; Testudines; Emydidae. The transcript is spliced from 3 exons.
UAUUACUGGAUAAGAUUGGGCCACAUUACACCCUCAGGUCUCUGCUUCAAAGAGCUUACACUGUAAAUAAAGAAAAAUACAAAGGGGGAGGGGAGAGCAGGGCAAUAUGUGAGACUUUUUAACUGUUGCCUAUUUGCUUUGGGUCCCUUGCUCAUAAAACCAGAUGAAAGAGUGAUGUUACCAACCAACCCCCCAUAAAACCACAUCCUCCCCUUACCAUCUUCUCUUUCUGAGAGAAAGCACGGCCUAGUGCUUAAAGCAUAGGACUGUGAGUUGAAGUCGGUGUUCUAAUCUGGGCUGCAGAGACUCCCUGUGUGAUCUUGGGGUGCUUAGGGCUCCAAUCCAGCACACCUUCCUUGUACAGCCAUCCCAUUUAAAUCACUGGGAUAUCUAAAUGUGGAGUGCUUGCAGAAUUGAGCUCUUAUCUCUGUGUACCUUAGUUUCCUCAUCUAUAAAAUGGGGGUAAUAGAUAAGUAUUAUUAUUCACAAAGAGGUCAUUGGGAGGGGUAUUUCACGCACAUUUAAGUGUUUUGAGAUCCAUGAAUGGAAUGUGCUGUAGGAAAUGAAAAGUAUUACUAAUAAACAUCAGGAAAGAUUCCCUCAAUUUGAGCUGUAUUUUACAGGAAACCAUAUAGCACAGUGGGGUCUUGGUCCCUGAGUGGGGUUUCUAGGCACUACGAAAACACAAAUAAUAGUGCUAUCUGUGUAUCCAGAAGAUUAUAGAUAGUCACUCUAGGGAAAUGGCAAAAGGUCCAGUGCUUGAGCCCCAUAAAACAAGACUGGACAAAGAACUGGAGAACAUGCUAUCCUACAAUGGUUCCCUGGAGAAGGACAAGAUGGGACCUAAUCACUCUCUUCUAUUUCUAAUUUCUAUUCUUCCGUUCAGUAUUUAGCUACAGUACAGAAAUAAAGCUACUGAACUUUUUUCCACUCACAAGUGAAGUCUGAGAAUAAAGAAUGACACAGCUUUAAAAACUUCUGUAGAACAUUUAUGUAAGAAAUUAAGGUCAGUCCAAUCUAGCAAUGGUCCGUCUAAGGCACAUGAGCAAAUCUACACAGACAGGCAGGACCAGUAAUCUAUGUUUAGGGAAACAAUGACGCAGACAUUGCUCAAAGACAUGCUAGUUUAAAAAAGAAGGAAGAGCUGAUUUGACAGUGACAAUUAGCCAUCAGUAAGAUGAUCAAGAGUUUUAAGUCUCAUGUCAUUGGACAAUAGUAGGAAGAAUUAAAGAAAAUGAAUAUGAAUGUUCUCUUUGACACUACUGUAUGUAUUAUCUAGCGUGAGGGCAGCUACACAGAUUUAACAUCCCCAAUGACAUCUGGAAGUCUUCAGAGAGAUUGAUUUGAGCCCUCUCCUCCCCAUCCUCCCCAGGUUGUGUAACUUGUCACAUGCUUUCUUUCUCUGUUGCAGGGGGAGGGGGGAUUAGCCAGGAGUGAGAGAGCUACAGGGGACUAAACUGUGUUUCUGAGGGAAAAAAAGCAUGUUGAAACUGUCUGCUAAGUAAUAUCCAGGGGAAAAGAACACUUAGAAUCUAGAUGCCCCUCUUCCUGUAACCAAUUUGUAUCAGAGGGAAUUAAGACCCCAGUUAGAAAUAAGAUUUAUACCAAUUCUUUAGAGUUCUUAUUAUUGAUUAGUUGUAUUAGCAUAGUGCUUAGGAGUCCUAGUCAUGGAUCAGGAUCCCAUUGCAGUGGGUGCUGUACAAACAGAAUAAAAAGAUGGUCCUUGCCCCAAGAGAUUUCUUAUCCUGUAUCUCUGAUAUCUGUUCCAGGCCUUACUACUUUGGGUUCAAGUUUAGUACCUGGUUUACUAAUAACCUUUCCAGUUAUCUUUUUGAACAAAAAUAUCCAAGGUGUUAUUUGGAGGGAAAUCCUGUAAAGUGUAUUCUAACCUGUCCCUAUGGUGACCAUUCCUUCAGCAGGUAUGCAUGAUAUUUUAUAGAUGACAGUAUUAAAACUCCCAAAGUGCUGUACCAGCACACAUGGGUGUCUUUGUAAAACAUAGGAUGGAUUAUUUGGGAAUGGCCCCUUCUAUUGUUCCAAAGUUCUGGUCGGGAAUAUGCAGGAGAUCCAGCCAUCUAGGAGACUUUUCUUCACAGCCUCAUUUUGGGUUCAGUACAUUUUUACCCCUUCUCUGCACAUACUAACCACCUCAGCCUUACAUUUUUUUUUAAGAUAGUUAAAUAGGAGGGAAAGCUUGGUGCAGGGAAUCCUGGUCAGUCCAGGUCCUAAGAGAGAAGACGAGGGGGGAAACCCCUCCCACACACCAAGGGAUAUACGAGAGACCUUAACUGGUCAUUUCCUGGUUAUUAGAUGUUUGAGUCUGUGGUUGUGAAGUCCCCCCUAAUGGAAGGGUACAGAGGCAGAAGGCACUGAUGUGUGGCAAACAAACAACUCCAUCUUAAUAAAGUUUAAUCCAGCAUUGCUCCCUUGCUUUCUCUCCCCGAUCCCAAAUAAGCUAGGUAAAAUACUAAUUGUUAAUCCUGUACAUUUGUUCUCUACAAUUUGGCUGAGGCUGAAGCCUGAACAGCAGGAUGCUGAGUGCCCAUUAGUUUAAAUAGUGGUGAAACAGACAAAUCUUCUAAUGGAUGUGAUGAAACCAAAGACUUGGAGGGGGUCCUGAAAGAACGGAGUUAUGCAGAGACCAUGAGGAUUCUUACCUGAGAUGCCUAUAAGUUUUACAUGGAGGAGGUUGAAGCUGGGUGACCUUGGGAUACAGAAGUGGCCUGGCUGACCUUCUCAGCUAAGGAGCCCCUGAGCUCCCUCCUCAGCUCUCUAAGACACCUCAAAACGAGCAGGUGGCACUGCUCUUCUGUGUGAGAAGGAAGAACCAGGUGGCUCUGGAAAUACCAUUAUAAAAUUUCACUCUGAUGAACUCAAAGAAAAGAGCAAGAGACAAUUCCUCCUUGGUCAUUUUUCUUUAGGGGCUUCACAAUCCCCACUUCCUGGAAACAGGACUGAUCCAAACUCCUGAACAUUGAAAGACAAUCCCAGGAACUCCAGGAAAGGUUGGGAUCACUCUCAGGCUGCCCAGCACUGGCAUAGCUCUGCUGGGAAUGUCAAAUCAGCUCUCCUCUCUGCUUGGGUAGCAGCCCGUGCUUAGACACUGAACUUCAUAUUGUUUUGCAACAAAUGCUAGUUGGAGAGAACUCUCAUUUUGGAGACGGCACUAAAGAUGCCACUCACACCCCUCCCCCCUGCAUGCAAAGGAAAAUAAAUCCCAAUUUCCUUUAGUAACUCAACACAUUCUCUUUGUGUUAUCAUGACUACAACUAUGAUUGCCUUCCUUGUCGCUCUUGAACUUAGAUCACAAAAUAAUCUUAAAUGACUCUUUGCCCCUGUAUAUAUUGUGCACUUCUGCCUCCUACUGCACUAAUAGACUCCAUUAUGCUAUUAUCCUUGUUGCAAUUGUCAUCUACAUUUGAGAUGAAUUCUAGGCUUAGUUCAUUUCCAGGCUCUUUUGGUCCUUCAUUAUUUUCUUGACACUUUCUGGGAAGAAUCUGGCUCUAUUAUCUGCUGCCAUAUCUGGAAUAAUUUUUAGAAGGUACGUUAAUGUGCCAUUCAUUCUAUCAGUGUUUUCCUUUCACAAGUGCUUGUUUUUAUGGGGUUUUGAGGCACCUUCUCUGCUGCAUCUCUGUCACAGCUAGCAAACAAAUGGUUUUCUAGGCAAAUGUAGCUCCAAAUAUUUAUUAUGCUGAAUUAUUCUAGCUGAAUAUUCUACUUUCUCAGAAUUGUAAACUCUAGUAGCAUUACUGUGUAUCAUCUUUUGGCUCACAGUCAUGGUUUCAGAGGAUCUUUCUUUGCUUGUUGCAAAUGAAGGGAGGAGUUACAUGUUCCAUACUGUUGAAACUGGAAAAAAAAAUCAUAAAAACAAGUGUGAGCUAUGAUAUUCAGUAAAGUGCAUAUCUCUAAUUAAGAUAGACAUUUUUAUUAGAUGCUCUCCUGCCUUGUGACACAAAGCAACCCACUUUUUCCACCUCUGUCUGACUAGUGCCACAUUUCUUGCUCCACUGUGUCUGUGUACAUGACAGUGACAUCUUUCUCAAUGGUUUUCUUAUGUCUCAUCUGUUGUCCUCUUUCCCAUCUUCCACCAAGUGGUACCCAAUUAAGGGCUUGUCUAAGAAUACUUUUUUUUGACAUCUGUACAACAUGCCCAAACCACUUCAGUCUUCUUUUUCAGAUUAUUAUCCCUACAGUCUGUUGGCCAGUCCUAACACAUCAGCAUUAGUUAUUUUUUCCCCACCUGCAGACUCCAAGUCUUCUCUGCAAGCAUCUCUGAUGGCAUGCACGUGCAUUACAUUUCCUGUUGUGGGUGUCUAGCAUUGGCUAAGUUUCAGAAGCAUGUAACAAUGUAGGGAUCUCAAUAAUAUUGUGAAACUUUA